Acetobacteraceae bacterium AT-5844 is the source of this 78-nucleotide regulatory RNA element. It matches the Rfam family "terC RNA". Lineage: Bacteria; Pseudomonadati; Pseudomonadota; Alphaproteobacteria; Acetobacterales; Acetobacteraceae. The record is from Rfam.
GCCUCGAUCCGGGCCCCUCUGGCGAGAGGGCGGAACGCCGUGCCGGCGCCCCCGCCCCCGUGAUGUCGGAUCAGCUAC